Molecule: ribosomal RNA, 164 nt
Filed under: Lockhartia parthenoglossa
Lineage: Eukaryota; Viridiplantae; Streptophyta; Magnoliopsida; Asparagales; Orchidaceae
Description: 5.8S ribosomal RNA
Rfam family: 5.8S ribosomal RNA
About the family: 5.8S ribosomal RNA (5.8S rRNA) is a component of the large subunit of the eukaryotic ribosome. It is transcribed by RNA polymerase I as part of the 45S precursor that also contains 18S and 28S rRNA. Functionally, it is thought that 5.8S rRNA may be involved in ribosome translocation.
Source: RNAcentral
GACACGACUCUCGGCAAUGGAUAUCUCGGCUCUUGCAUCGAUGAAGAGCGCAGCGAAAUGCGAUACGUGGUGCGAAUUGCAGAAUCCCGCGAACCAUCGAGUCUUUGAACGCAAGUUGCGCCCGAAGCCAGCCGGCCAAGGGCACGUCCGCCUGGGCGUCAAGC